Long non-coding RNA from Phocoena sinus (vaquita), 1746 nucleotides. The record is from Ensembl. Lineage: Eukaryota; Metazoa; Chordata; Mammalia; Artiodactyla; Phocoenidae.
UAUCAAGAGUAUGCACAAAGGGUAAAUGGUAUAAUUCUGUCUUUGCACCACAUUACUGUUUCUGACUAGAAAAUGAUCAUUGGACUAUAGAUAACUCUAUGAGGGUUAUUAAGGUGGGGGAAUUUGAAAAAGCAACUAAUCAUUAAAACAUAGGAUUUUUUCCCUAGAAUUUCCCAGCUUCAUCUGAAAGUUAAAUGUAAACUGCUUAAUAUGGCUUAACUGUUAAAAUUUUGAGUAGUUCAUUACUUAGCAAAUAAUGCAAAAAAAUAUUUUUAAAUGUUUCUGAAUUGAUACAUUGAAGCAUAUUAACAUAGAUACCUCUAUCAAACAAGAUUACUUACACUGAAGACUCAAUUCAAAAAUACAAACAAAACCUAUUACAUAUUAUUGCAGCACUUUAUGCAAGAUUGAUGGAUGGAACAUGUUUAAAAGGAAGCAACUAGGCAAUAGUGCAACAACAAAAAUAUCGAGACUGUCAAAACUUCUGUGUUAAAUUCUUAAAGCAUUUACUUUAGACAUUUAAAAUAAUUCAACUGAAAUUACAUUUUCUCCUGGAAAUGACUAUAUAUUGAUAGUGAUUUUGCAGAAUGCUUUACGGUAAUUUUGUUUCUUUUUUCUUUUUUUUAGCACCUACCUAAUAGGUAGAUUUUAUUACAGAAAAUCUUUGAUUCUUUAUAAAGAAAGACCUACAUUUAGGAAAUAGUACCUAUGUUAAAUAAUGAAAGAUGAGAUUACUUGGUAAAGUAGAAUUUAAAAAAUACUUUUCAGAUUUUUUUCAAGUAUGUAUACAAGUUCUCCAGUGGGGCUUCAUGUGCCAGAUUUUCUAUUGUAAAAGGCCAUUAGCCAUCUUGUCCUUCAGUUAAAAAAAAACCCAGAAAACCCAACCUUUACUUGAAAUGGGAUUGGUAGUUCAAACUCCCAAAUGAAGGAGAUGCCUAAUUUAAUUCCAAAUUCUAUUCUACAUUUGAGUUUUGAUCUAAAUAUUAAAUUGAAGAGGUAUAAGCAGUUUCAAGAAGCUCCCUAGCUUAUAAUGAUUCUAUUAAAUGAGCUAAGGAUAAUCGAUUGUAUUGAUGACAUACAUACUUCACAUGCAGAACUGUGGGUUGCAUUGUAAUUUCAUUAUUGUAGGCUGCCAUUAGGUUUCCAGUCUGUAGAAUGAGCUAUGGAAUUGAAUUGGCACUUAUUGCUUUAUUCUCUGUUUACUUUCAAAACCUUUGCUUUGUCUCUGGUGUUGUGCAGUUUCACUGUGCUAAAUCUAGGUGUGGUUUUAUUAUUUAUUUGCUCACGUCUUGCCUCUUGCCCAGUUCUUUUUACUUUUUGGAAUUCCUAUGGUAUUGCUAGCAUACAACUUUUGAAUUUCUUUUCUCUGUCUCAACAGCUUUACUGUUUUUCCUUCUCCUUCCAUUUCUGUGCUGAGUAUCUUCAGCUUCAACCACUCCCCAUGAAGUCAUCUCCACUUAGAUAUCUAAUAGACACCUAAUUUUAAAAUAAUAAAAUUUGGGCUUCCCUGGUGGCACAGUGGUUGAGAGUCCGCCCGCCGAUGCAGGGGACACAGGUUCGUGCCCCGGUCCGGGAAGAUCCCACAUGCCGCUGAGCGGCUGGGCCUGUGAGCCAUGGCUGCUGAGCCUGCGCGUCUGGAGCCUGUGCUCCGCAACGGGAGAGGCCACAACAGUGAGAGGCCCUCAUACCGCAAAAAAAUUUUUUUUAAAUAAAACUUGAUUCAACUCUUCUCCAUCACUGACAGUU